Molecule: long non-coding RNA, 858 nt
Organism: Rattus norvegicus (Norway rat)
Lineage: Eukaryota; Metazoa; Chordata; Mammalia; Rodentia; Muridae
Source: RefSeq, a predicted model, not a curated record
CAUUGUGAAGUCAGGAAUCACGUCAUUGUGGAGUCCGGAUGUGCGUUGAGACAUCUGGAAGCUGUGCGUUUGCUGUAAGCAGCCCUACCACAGACAUGUGAGCGCCGAACCACACUGUGUUAGGACAGCAGCUCUCAGCCCUUAGAAGCUCUUCUUAUGAGACCGCUGUCGUAUGUAGCUCUGCUCUUUCCGGAGACAUCUUUAUGCGUGCAUCGUUGUUCAAGAAGGAGGAGAUACCUGGAGACUGAGGCAGAAGGAUCCUGAGUUCCAGGGCAGCUUGGCCUAUAAGAGCGAGCUCCAGGAUGUGGGCUUCCUUGACUGCUGUUCUGUAGCAGGAGGGAGGCAGGGCCACACUGCCAGAACCGUGCAAAGCCAGCUUCUCCCCUGACAGCCGUGUCUACCAGGAAGUCUCCCCUGGCCUCAGGCUCCCCAUGGGAGGUAUGGACCACAAACCGGAGUAGCGGGCUGCCAUGAAAUAACAGUGGAAGUGCUAGAUGCUACCUUCAUCCCAUUGGCCGAACCAGUCAUGUGUCUCCUCAUGGACGGCCCACUUUGGAAACAUUCAAUAAGGAAUUUUGGUCACAAGUCCAGACCACAACGCAGCUCUCGUUCCGCCACCAGCAUUGACAAGCUGCUGUGGUUUGGUUCCCCACGAGUACAUCCGCUCCUGAGUUCCUUCUGAACUUCUGAUGCUGAAUCAUUCCUUCCGUUCUGGAGAUGUUCAGCGGUGGCACUUUUGGGAAGUGAUUUAGUCAUGACGACCGACCAGUAUACUUCUGUCAGGACGUGCGGUUAGUUGCCCCAACACCUGACCACCAUGCAGUAAAGCCGCUUUGGCAUUUGUCUCUUCCCACCUCA